Long non-coding RNA from Homo sapiens (human), 1109 nucleotides. RefSeq annotates it as TMEM161B divergent transcript. NCBI's taxonomy places the organism in Eukaryota, Metazoa, Chordata, Mammalia, Primates, Hominidae. The record is from RefSeq and is marked validated. The transcript is spliced from 8 exons.
GGCGCAGCACAGGUACGUGGGCGGGCGGAUCGUGGUGGCUGCGCUUGCGAGGACCCUGAGGUAGAUUGGGUGGUUUCAACAGGAACGCAUCCACUGUCUGAGAGUUUAAACUUGAUUUUGUGAGGGGACGAACAGCGUGACAAUUAAAAGAAGAUCUGGGAAUCAAAAGCUUCCUGAGGCCUUCACCAGAAGCAGAUGCUGGUGCCGUGCUUCUACAGCCUGCAGAACUAAGAGAAGACAUGGAGAAGAGGAGGGAGUAGUUGUGACCGUGGAGGCAGAGAAUGGAGUAAUGUGAUCAUAAAUCAAGGAAUGCUGACAGCCACUAAAGCUGGAGAAGGCCAAGGACAGAUAUUCAAUCCUCCCGUAGAAGUACAGCCCUGCUAAUGCAUUGAUUUUGGACUUCUGGCCUCAGAACUAUUUAUAUAUCAGCUUUUUAUCAGUUGAAAUAAACCACCCUGGGCCGGGUGCAGUGGCUCACACCUGUAAUCCCAGCACUUUGGGAGGCCGAGGUCUGGAAAGCAUGGAAAUUUGUAUCUUCAUUCACUUUUGUUUUCAUGGACUCUUUUCAUGUUUGAACUUUUCAUGAUCCAAUGUGAUAAUUUAUGUGAAAUCUUUCUGCAAACUAUACAGUAUGAUAAAAAUAUAAGGUAGUUUCACUGGAAACAACAGAAGACUAGAAGCUGAUGUGACGUGGCAAUAUCAACCAGGAAUACCCAUCUCGAGUUCUGGAUAUGUGCUCUGAGAAGGUGCCCAUGUCACCGACCACACUGGAGGCCAAUGCAGAUACUGGGGGAAGGUUCCAUGGUAGCUAAGUGUGGACAAGCUAAUCACUGAAGUUCCCUGAUGCAGAGUUGAUAAUCUCUCUAGAGUUGGAUGAAAGACUGUGCUGCCUUGAAGCUCUGAGAGAUGCCAUGCCAAUUCAAGGCAGGGUCUUUAUUGUUGAAACUCUUGCGUAAUGACAUCUUUAUUCAGGUGAAAAUACAGGAUGAAUUUCAACUAUAUGAUAUUGUUUAUGUUCCUCAGACAUGUUAUUUGUCUUUACAAAGAUUGGUUUCAAUAAACUGUGUGACUGAUAUUAAAUAAACAUGGAAUUUUACACAUUCAUAAUA